GCACGGGGGGCCUACGGGAGGCAGCAGUGGGGAAUAUUGCACAAUGGGGGCAACCCUGAUCCAGCCAUGCCGCGUGUGUGAAGAAGGCUUUCGGGUUGUAAAGCACUUUCAGUGGGGAGGAAAACUUUGUAGUUAAUACUUGUGAGCCUUGACGUUAACAACAGAAGAAGCACCGGCUAACUCCGUGCCAGCAGCCGCGGUAAUACGGAGGGUGCGAGCGUUAAUCGGAAUUACUGGGCGUAAAGCGCGCGCAGGUGGUUUGUUAAGCGAGAUGUGAAAGCCCCGGGCUCAACCUGGGAAGGUCAUUUAGAACUGUCAGACUAGAGUAUGGUAGAGGGGAGUGGAAUUUCAGGUGUAGCGGUGAAAUGCGUAGAUAUAGGAAGGAACACCAGUGGCGAAGGCGGCACUCUGGACCAAUACUGACACUCAGGUGCGAAAGCGUGGGGAGCAAACAGGAUUAGAUACCCUGGUAGUCCACGCUGUAAACGAUGUCAACUAGCCGUU
This 504-nucleotide ribosomal RNA is filed under the name uncultured Gammaproteobacteria bacterium. Its description in RNAcentral is "bacterial SSU rRNA". It matches the Rfam family "Bacterial small subunit ribosomal RNA", at positions 328 to 824 of the family's 1533-position model. Lineage: Bacteria; Pseudomonadati; Pseudomonadota; Gammaproteobacteria. The record is from RNAcentral.